AACGAACGCUGGCGGCAUGCCUAACACAUGCAAGUCGAACGAGACCUUCGGGUCUAGUGGCGCACGGGUGCGUAACGCGUGGGAACCUGCCCUUAGGUUCGGAAUAACUCCCCGAAAGGGGUGCUAAUACCGGAUAAUGUCUUCGGACCAAAGAUUUAUCGCCUUUGGAUGGGCCCGCGUUGGUUUAGCUAGUUGGUAGGGUAAAAGCCUACCAAGGCGACGAUCCAUAGCUGGUCUGAGAGGAUGAGCAGCCACACUGGGACUGAGACACGGCCCAGACUCCUACGGGAGGCAGCAGUGGGGAAUAUUGGAAAACGGGCGAAAGCCUGAACCAGCAAUGCCGCGUGAGUGAUGAAGGCCUUAGGGUUGUAAAGCUCUUUUACCCGGGAUGAUAAUGACAGUACCGGGAGAAUAAGCUCCGGCUAACUCCGUG
Molecule: ribosomal RNA, 433 nt
Filed under: uncultured bacterium
Lineage: Bacteria
Description: partial 16S ribosomal RNA
Rfam family: Bacterial small subunit ribosomal RNA
Source: RNAcentral